Molecule: ribosomal RNA, 483 nt
Filed under: uncultured bacterium
Lineage: Bacteria
Description: partial 16S ribosomal RNA
Rfam family: Bacterial small subunit ribosomal RNA
Source: RNAcentral
GACGAACGCUGGCGGCGUGCUUAACACAUGCAAGUCGAACGCUGAAGCUCAGCUUUUGUUGGGUGGAUGAGUGGCGAACGGGUGAGUAACACGUGAGUAACCUGCCUCCUUCUUUGGGAUAACGCCCGGAAACGGGUGCUAAUACUGGAUAUUCACUGGUCUUCGCAUGGGGGUUGGUGGAAAGGGCUUUUCUGGUGGGGGAUGGGCUCGCGGCCUAUCAGCUUGUUGGUGGGGUGAUGGCCUACCAAGGCUUUGACGGGUAGCCGGCCUGAGAGGGUGACCGGGCACAUUGGGACUGAGAUACGGCCCAGACUCCUGCGGGAGGCAGCAGUGGGGAAUAUUGCACAAUGGGCGCAAGCCUGAUGCAGCGACGCCGCGUGAGGGAUGGAGGCCUUCGGGUUGUGAACCUCUUUCGCUCAUGGUCAAGCCGCAACAAUGGUUGUGGUGAGGGUAGUGGGUAAAGAAGCGCCGGCUAACUACGUG